RNAcentral lists this unclassified non-coding RNA (1424 nucleotides) under uncultured fungus. Its description in RNAcentral is "sequence contains 18S rRNA gene, ITS1, 5.8S rRNA gene, ITS2, 28S rRNA gene". The stretch from base 399 to 1424 matches the Rfam family "Eukaryotic large subunit ribosomal RNA", at positions 1 to 961 of the family's 3401-position model. Lineage: Eukaryota; Fungi. The record is from RNAcentral.
GGAAGGAUCAUUCCAAAAAUAAUCCACUUCGCCGUGAACUUUUAUAAUCGUUUUUAAAAAUUUAAAAUUAUCCAACUGUAAGCAACGGAUACCUCGGCUAUCACAACGAUGAAGAACGCAGCAAAGCGCGAUAGGAAUUGCGAAUUGCAGAAUUCAGUGAAUCAUCGUACCUUUGAACGCAAUUGCGCUCUUGGGAAUCCCCUUGAGCAUGCCUCUUUGAGUGUCGGUAACACCAUCUCAAUUUUGAAUUGAGGAGUUGGGGUUCACAUAGUGCCUGAAGGUGUACGAGUGUGUUGGUGUUGGUUCAACCCGAAUAACAUUGUUGCUGGGAAACUUGUACAAUUGCUUUUUUGGAUCUUGGUCAACACGAUGCACAGUUGAAAUUUCAUACAAAUUUCUGAUCUCAAAUGAGGUAAGGAGACCCCCUGAAUUUAAGCAUAUUAUUAAGGGAAGGAAAAGAAACUAACUAGGAUUCCCUGAGUAACUGCGAGUGAAACGGGAAGAGCUCAACCUGAAAAUCGCUGGAGGUGUCCUGUAGCGAAUUGUGGGUUCUGGAAGUAUUCUCAGCGUGUGGCCCCGCUUUAAGUCUGCUGGAAUGCAGCUGUCAUAGAGGGUGAGAACCCCGUCUUGGGGUGGGAGUCCGCAGCGUACGAGGUGCUUUCGCAGAGUCGGGUUGCUUGGGAGUGCAGCCUUAAACGGGAGGUGAAUUCCUUCCAAAGCUAAAUACCUGUGAUAGACCGAUAGCGCACAAGUACCGUAAGGGAAAGGUGAAAAGGACUUUGAAAAGAGAGUCAAAAGUACUUGAAAUUGCUUAUAGUCAACGGAUAGGAACUAUUGGAUCGAUUUCGUCGUAUUACUAGCGAUUACUGUUUGUGGCGUUUGAGGUGUCUGUUUCUAUAUGGAGCGGUGCUCUUGGGUGUUUGCGGGUAGUGACCGUUGGGCUUAGCGGCGAUAGAUGUCAGGAUGAGUUUUUGGCGUGGGAUACGAGUUGCGUGGAGGUAGGUGGUGAUCCUUUUGGUGAUCCCUGAGUACACGUGGCGGAUACCAUGCUGGGGACUGAGGAUAGAUUCUGACGAAAUGGUUCUUAUUCACCCGUCUUGAAACACGGACCAAGGAGUGUAAGGUGUAUGCGAGUGUUAGGGUGGAAAACCCGGACGCGUAAUGAAAGUAAAGGUUCCUUUUGGAGCUGAGGUGUUAAUGCAGUCUCUAUAUGGGGCAGCAGGCCGCACCGCCCGGCCUUUCCCUAGUGUUAGUGCGAGGACGAGCAUAUACAUUACGACCGAAAGAUGGUGAACUAUACCUGAGCAGGGUGAAGCCAGGGGAAACUCUGGUGGAGGCUCGUAGCGAUACUGACGUGCAAAUCGUUCGUCAGACUUGGUAUAGGGGCGAAAGACUAAUCGAACCAUCUAGUAGCUGGUUCCCCC